Cajanus cajan (pigeon pea) is the source of this 451-nucleotide non-coding RNA. Lineage: Eukaryota; Viridiplantae; Streptophyta; Magnoliopsida; Fabales; Fabaceae. The record is from RefSeq and is a predicted model, not a curated record.
UUUAAAUUUGUUACUUUCCUUCAAAAUGUUCCCUCAAACCCUUCAAAAGGAGACGCAACUCACCACCGCAUGAGACACACCCCUCCAUCGCAAGAGAUGCACCCACCACCGCACGAGAUGCACCCCACCAUGCACGAGAUUCCUGGUCGUGGGAAUCGGUGGAAGGACCGAGGCGAUAGGAAUGUGAAUAUGCUCGCACAAUCCUCCACUGCUCGGACAACAUUCUACUAUUUACAUAAGAUCCUUUAUAACAUAAAAAAAGAGUUCCCCUAAGUCUCUUUGAAAAUCAAUUUGCCACAGUGGUAUCGGGAAUCAUAAUUGUUUGUUUAAUUUUUCUGAUUUUGAAUCUGUGAAUUGUGAACCAUAACAUAUCGUACAUAAAGGGUCUAAGGUUGCCUAAACAUUUAAAGCAAUGCAAGUAAGUUAUUUUUGAAAGAUUGUUAAGGAUGAA